GUGAAUCAUCAAAUUUUUGAACGCAAAUUGCACUCUCUGGUAUUCCGGAGAGUAUGCCUGUUUGAGUGUCAGUUUAAAUAAAAGUCGGUGUGGUUGCUGCCUUUCGCGGUGACGCAGCGGAUUUGGAUCGUCUUGCCUUCGGUUAAGUGGCCUAAAAUUGUGAAUAAUUUUUUUUCGAACGUGUUUAAUUGAGUUUACGUACGGUUGC
RNAcentral lists this unclassified non-coding RNA (208 nucleotides) under Glomeraceae sp. Its description in RNAcentral is "partial contains 5.8S ribosomal RNA and internal transcribed spacer 2". The stretch from base 1 to 71 matches the Rfam family "5.8S ribosomal RNA", at positions 84 to 154 of the family's 154-position model. The record is from RNAcentral. Lineage: Eukaryota; Fungi; Glomeromycota; Glomeromycetes; Glomerales; Glomeraceae.